CCAGACUCCUACGGGAGGCAGCAGUGGGGGAUAUUGCACAAUGGGGGAAACCCUGAUGCAGCGACGACGCGUGGGUGAAGAAGUAUUUCGGUAUGUAAAGCCCUAUCAGCAGGGAAGAAAGAAGACGGUACCUGACUAAGAAGCCCCGGCUAACUACGUGCCAGCAGCCGCGGUAAUACGUAGGGGGCGAGCGUUAUCCGGAUUCACUGGGUGUAAAGGGAGCGUAGACGGCCGUGCAAGCCAGGAGUGAAAGCCCGGGGCCCACCCCCCGGACUGCUCUGGAAACUGUGUAACUGGAGUGCAGGAGAGGCAGGCAGAAUUCCUAGUGUAGCGGUGAAAUGCGUAGAUAUUAGGAGGAACACCAGUGGCGAAGGCGGCCUGCUGGACUGUAACUGACGUUGAGGCUCGAAAGCGUGGGGAGCAAACAGGAUUAGAUACCCUCGUA
RNAcentral lists this ribosomal RNA (445 nucleotides) under uncultured bacterium. RNAcentral describes it as "bacterial SSU rRNA". It matches the Rfam family "Bacterial small subunit ribosomal RNA", at positions 331 to 792 of the family's 1533-position model. The record is from RNAcentral.